AACGAAAUGCAGGGGAACCCGCACCACUAGGCGGGUUGAGAUGGGCGAUGGCCCGACCCUUUGAACCUGUUGGUUAAGACCAGCGUAGGGAGCAGUGAAUAUGAGCGA
Molecule: non-coding RNA, 108 nt
Filed under: Bifidobacterium callitrichos
Lineage: Bacteria; Bacillati; Actinomycetota; Actinomycetes; Bifidobacteriales; Bifidobacteriaceae
Description: TPP sequence
Rfam family: TPP riboswitch aptamer (THI element)
About the family: Vitamin B(1) in its active form thiamin pyrophosphate (TPP) is an essential coenzyme that is synthesised by coupling of pyrimidine and thiazole moieties in bacteria. The previously detected thiamin-regulatory element, thi box was extended, resulting in a new, highly conserved RNA secondary structure, the THI element, which is widely distributed in eubacteria and also occurs in some archaea.
Source: RNAcentral